UUGACUGUGUUUGUGCAGAGGGAGCAGGAGAGACAGACUUACCAGAAGGCUCAUGCAGAGGUGCUGGAGGUCUUGAUCCGGAGGAUUCUCCUAGUUUUGCUUUCUUCGCCUGCGAUGUCUUCUCAGAGGGACCUCUUUUAUGCCUCAUGAAGUUCGGAGCCUUAUCUGGUAGAUCGCUUAAAUGGAAGUCUGAGAUAUCCACUCCUUCGUCCUUCAGACCUUGUAGAUAAAA
Molecule: long non-coding RNA, 232 nt
Filed under: Lathyrus oleraceus (garden pea)
Lineage: Eukaryota; Viridiplantae; Streptophyta; Magnoliopsida; Fabales; Fabaceae
Description: Pisum sativum (pea) long non-coding RNA (PSAT_LNC035252)
Source: RNAcentral